Molecule: ribosomal RNA, 363 nt
Filed under: Triticum aestivum (bread wheat)
Lineage: Eukaryota; Viridiplantae; Streptophyta; Magnoliopsida; Poales; Poaceae
Description: partial small subunit ribosomal RNA
Source: RNAcentral
AUGUCCAUUUGCCCAUUUUCACCUGGUCGGAACAUUUGCCCCAGCGACCUACAUUUCGGUACAGAGGGAGUANNNNNNNNNNAACAAGCAACUCCUCAAGCAUCUCAACUAGCAUCUCGACAAGCAACUCAACAAGCAACUCCUCAAGCAUCUCGACAAGCAUCUCGACAAGCAACUCCUCAAGCAUCUCAACAAGCAACUCCUCAAGCAUCUCAACAAGCAUCUCGACAAGCAUCUCAACAAGCAACUCCUCAAGCAUCUCGACAAGCAUCUCAACAAGCAACUCUCUCCAUUAUCCCAAGAUUGUGCAGGGCAUUUGCAUAUACCUCUGGAGGGCAUAGCGGGUACUGGGCGAGGAGAUGA